Molecule: ribosomal RNA, 246 nt
Filed under: uncultured bacterium
Lineage: Bacteria
Description: partial 16S ribosomal RNA
Rfam family: Bacterial small subunit ribosomal RNA
Source: RNAcentral
GACGAACUGUGCAAACGUUAUUCGGAAUCACUGGGCUUGAAGAGUGCGUAGGCGGUUUCGUAAGUAGGGUGUGAAAGCCCCCAGCUCAACUGGGGAACUGCGUCCUAAACUGCGAGGCUGGAGUGAGGUAGGGGUGUGUGGAACUUCCGGUGGAGCGGUGAAAUGAUGUUGAUAUCGGAAGGAACGCCGGUGGCGAAAGCGACACACUGGGCCUUGUCUGACGCUGAGGCACGAAAGCCAGGGGAG